UUAUAUAUAUCUAACAGAAACAUAAUCAAAGACUGUAACUCCUGAAGAAUCAGCACGGCUUCAUCUCUUGUGUCGUGAGAAUUGAGCUGGGGGUCUGUUUGACUGCGGUCACGGUUUGUUUUUCCGUUCAAGUGCGUGUCUGAGGUCCGAGACUGCCGCUGUUUGAUCUCUUCUCGAAAUAAGGGCGGCUAACAGAAAGAGUGGACUGCAUCUCAGGACUAGAAAAGGGACUCAACGAUGAGGCUCAGUCACUACAGUCUCAACACUUGAGCUCAUCAUCAAGCAAGACGAAAACAGCAUGACCAGCUCUGGAGUUGAAGCUGAGAUGGAGGAGCAAAAAUUCAGACUAGUGA
Molecule: long non-coding RNA, 353 nt
Organism: Cyprinus carpio (common carp)
Lineage: Eukaryota; Metazoa; Chordata; Actinopteri; Cypriniformes; Cyprinidae
Exons: 3
Source: RefSeq, a predicted model, not a curated record